Molecule: ribosomal RNA, 253 nt
Filed under: uncultured bacterium
Lineage: Bacteria
Description: partial 16S ribosomal RNA
Rfam family: Bacterial small subunit ribosomal RNA
Source: RNAcentral
UACGUAGGGUGCGAGCGUUGUCCGGAUUUAUUGGGCGUAAAGGGUGCGUAGGCGGCCUGACAAGUCUGAUGUGAAAUCCCUGGGCUCAACCCAGGGCCUGCAUCGGAAACUGUCGGGCUUGAGUAUGGGAGAGGUGAGUGGAAUUUCCGGUGUAGCGGUGAAAUGCGUAGAUAUCGGAAGGAACACCUGUGGCGAAAGCGGCUCACUGGACCAUUACUGACGCUGAGGCACGAAAGCUAGGGGAGCAAACAGG